GUGCCAGCCGCCGCGGUAAUACCGGCAGCCCGAGUGAUGGCCGAUCUUAUUGGGCCUAAAGCGUCCGUAGCUGGCUGCGCAAGUCCGUCGGGAAAUCCACUCGCCCAACGAGUGGGCGUCCGACGGAAACUGCACAGCUUGGGACCGGAAGGCUCGAAGGGUACGUCUUGGGUAGGAGUGAAAUCCUGUAAUCCUGGACGGACCGCCGAUGGCGAAAGCACUUCGGGAAGACGGAUCCGACGGUGAGGAACGAAAGCCAGGGUCUCCAACCGGAUUAGAUACCCCUGUAGUCC
This 293-nucleotide ribosomal RNA is filed under the name uncultured bacterium. RNAcentral's name for it is "partial 16S ribosomal RNA". It matches the Rfam family "Archaeal small subunit ribosomal RNA", at positions 455 to 747 of the family's 1478-position model. The record is from RNAcentral.